Molecule: ribosomal RNA, 253 nt
Filed under: uncultured bacterium
Lineage: Bacteria
Description: partial 16S ribosomal RNA
Rfam family: Bacterial small subunit ribosomal RNA
Source: RNAcentral
GACGAAGGAUGCAAGCGUUAUCCGGAUUCAUUGGGUUUAAAGGGAGCGUAGGUGGCCUUAUAAGUCAGUGGUGAAAUCUCUCAGCUUAACUGAGAAAUUGCCAUUGAUACUGUAGGGCUUGAGUACAGACGCCGUUGGCGGAAUAUGACAUGUAGUGGUGAAAUACAUAGAGAUGUCAUAGAACACCGAUUGCGAAGGCAGCUGACGAAACUGUAACUGACACUGAGGCUCGAAAGUGCGGGGAUCAAACAGG